Gossypium raimondii (Peruvian cotton) is the source of this 553-nucleotide long non-coding RNA. RefSeq lists it as uncharacterized. The transcript is spliced from 2 exons. NCBI's taxonomy places the organism in Eukaryota, Viridiplantae, Streptophyta, Magnoliopsida, Malvales, Malvaceae. The record is from RefSeq and is a predicted model, not a curated record.
UCAUUUUGUGCACAGAACGUAAGAACAAAAAAAAAAAAGGGAGACUCCCUUUUCUCUGCUAGGGUUCCAGACCAGGAACCCCGCCGCUGUCGCGCCUCCACUGCUCGGUGGCCGGAGCCAUACGAGGACGCCUCCUCUCGGCGCAUUGAAGCGCAUUCAGAGUUCGAGGCCAUGGAACACGGAAGCAAAGGGAAAGAGAAAAGCUUUGGCCCCUCUCCAAACCCACAUCCGGCGACGGUGAAGCACCAUCAACGGCGGGCCUGAAGGCCGGUUCAGGUGUCAGACGAGGCCGACGGUGGUGGCAGAAGGCAUGCGCGAUGAGGCAUUGGGCAAAGGCGGCGGCUAGCUUGAGGCUAGGGUUUGCUAUGCCUUUCUGCUGAAAAUGUUAAUGCUGUGGGCUAGGUUUUUAAUUUUUGGGCCUGAUUUGGGUUAACGGUUUAUUUUUGUUUUGGGUUGUAUUUGUUUAUUUUUUUGGGCCAGCAAAUUUGGGCUUCUACAAUAGAAAUUUAAUCAUACACAUUUAAAGAAAUAAUUACAUCAAUUUAUUUUUAUA